This 472-nucleotide ribosomal RNA is filed under the name uncultured bacterium. RNAcentral's name for it is "partial 16S ribosomal RNA". It matches the Rfam family "Bacterial small subunit ribosomal RNA", at positions 28 to 507 of the family's 1533-position model. The record is from RNAcentral.
GACGAACGCUGGCGGCGUGCUUAACACAUGCAAGUCGAACGAUGAACCCGGAGCUUGCUCUGGGGGAUUAGUGGCGAACGGGUGAGUAACACGUGAGUAACCUGCCCUGGACUCUGGGAUAAGCGUUGGAAACGACGUCUAAUACCGGAUAGGACCUUGGAUCGCAUGAUCUGGGGUGGAAAGUUUUUUCGGCCUGGGAUGGACUCGCGGCCUAUCAGCUUGUUGGUGAGGUAAUGGCUCACCAAGGCGUCGACGGGUAGCCGGCCUGAGAGGGUGACCGGCCACACUGGGACUGAGACACGGCCCAGACUCCUACGGGAGGCAGCAGUGGGGAAUAUUGCACAAUGGGCGAAAGCCUGAUGCAGCAACGCCGCGUGCGGGAUGACGGCCGUCGGGUUGUAAACCGCUUUUAGUAGGGAAGAAGGGCUUCGGCUUGACGGUACCUGCAGAAAAAGGACCGGCUAACUACGUG